CUAGAGAUAGUUUGGUGCUAGCCUGCUAGAACUUUUCACCAGGUGCUGCACGGCUGUCGUCAGCUCGUGUCGUGAGAUGUUGGGUUAAGUCCCGCAACGAGCGCAACCCUCGUGUUUAGUUACUAACAGUUCGGCUGAGGACUCUUGACAGACUGCCUGGGUAACCAGGAGGAAGGUGAGGACGACGUCAAGUCAUCAUGGCCCUUACGGCCAGGGCUACACACGUGCUACAAUGGGGUAUACAAAGAGCCGCGGUACCGCGAGGUGGAGCAAAUCUCAUAAAAUAUCUCCCAGUUCGGAUUGAAGUCUGCAACUCGACUUCAUGAAGUUGGAAUCGCUAGUAAUCGUGAAUCAGCAAUGUCACGGUGAAUACGUUCCCGGGUCUUGUACUCACCGCCC
RNAcentral lists this ribosomal RNA (399 nucleotides) under uncultured Campylobacterota bacterium. Its description in RNAcentral is "bacterial SSU rRNA". It matches the Rfam family "Bacterial small subunit ribosomal RNA", at positions 1000 to 1395 of the family's 1533-position model. Lineage: Bacteria; Pseudomonadati; Campylobacterota. The record is from RNAcentral.